Molecule: ribosomal RNA, 671 nt
Filed under: uncultured Sphingobacteriia bacterium
Lineage: Bacteria; Pseudomonadati; Bacteroidota; Sphingobacteriia
Description: bacterial SSU rRNA
Rfam family: Bacterial small subunit ribosomal RNA
Source: RNAcentral
CAGUCGUGGGGCAGCAGGUCCCGACGCAAGUCGGGAUGCUGGCGACCGGCAAACGGGUGCGGAACACGUACGCAACCUUCCUUUAAGUGGGGAAUAGCCCGGGGAAACCCGGAUUAAUACCCCGUAAUAUUAUGAAGUGGCAUCACUUUAUAAUUAUAGCUCCGGCGCUUGAAGAUGGGCGUGCGCCUGAUUAGGUAGUUGGCGGGGUAACGGCCCACCAAGCCUACGAUCAGUAACUGGUGUGAGAGCACGACCAGUCACACGGGCACUGAGACACGGGCCCGACUCCUACGGGAGGCAGCAGUAAGGAAUAUUGGGCAAUGGACGCAAGUCUGACCCAGCCAUGCCGCGUGGAGGAUGAAGGUCCUCUGGAUUGUAAACUUCUUUUAUCUGGGAAGAAAUCCAUCUUUUCUUGGGUGGUUGACGGUACCAGAUGAAUAAGCACCGGCUAACUCCGUGCCAGCAGCCGCGGUAAUACGGAGGGUGCAAGCGUUAUCCGGAUUCACUGGGUUUAAAGGGUGCGUAGGUGGAUUGGUAAGUCCGUGGUGAAAUCCCUGAGCUUAACUCAGGAACUGCCGUGGAUACUAUCAAUCUUGAAUACUGUGGAGGUAAGCGGAAUAUGUCAUGUAGCGGUGAAAUGCUUAGAUAUGACAUAGAACACCAAUUGCGAA